This 408-nucleotide ribosomal RNA is filed under the name uncultured bacterium. RNAcentral's name for it is "partial 16S ribosomal RNA". It matches the Rfam family "Bacterial small subunit ribosomal RNA", at positions 28 to 526 of the family's 1533-position model. The record is from RNAcentral.
GACGAACGCUGGCGGCGUGCUUAACACAUGCAAGUCGAACGGAGUGGCGAACGGGUGAGUAACACAUGGGUGAGCUGCACUGCACUUCGGGAUAAGCCUGGGAAACUGGGUCUAAUACCGGAUAGUGUGGGAUGGGACCGCGGCCUAUACGCUUGUUGGUGGGGUAAUGGCCUACCAAGGCGGCGACGGGUAGCCGGCCUGAGAAGGUGGACGGCCACAAUGGGACUGAGACACGGCCCAGAGUCCUACGGGAGUCAUCAGUGGGGAAUAUUGCACAAUGGGCGGAAGUCUGAUGCAGCGACGCCGCGUGGGGGAUGACGGCCUUCGGGUUGUAAACUCCGUGCACCAUCGACGCGGUAUUUAACCAGAAAGCCACGGCUAACUACGUGCCAGCCGCCGCGGUAAUUC